AAAGGGUAGCAAUACCUGAGUACAGUGGCGCACGGGUGAGUAACACGUGAAUGAUCUACCUCCGAGUGGGGAAUAACUGAGAGAAAUCUUAGCUAAUACCGCAUAACACUUACGAGUCAAAGCAGCAAUGCGCUUGGAGAGGAGUUCGCGGCAGAUUAGUUAGUUGGCGGGGUAAUGGCCCACCAAGACGAUGAUCUGUAUCCGGCCUGAGAGGGCGCACGGACACACUGGAACUGAAACACGGUCCAGACUCCUACGGGAGGCAGCAGUGGGGAAUUUUGCGCAAUGGGGGAAACCCUGACGCAGCAACGCCGCGUGGAGGAUGAAAUAUCUUGGUAUGUAAACUCCUUUCGAUGGGGAAGAUUAUGACGGUACCCAUAGAAGAAGCCCCGGCUAACUUCGUGCCAGCAGCCGCGGUAAUACGAGGGGGGCAAGCGUUGUUCGGAUUUAUUGGGCGUAAAGGGUGCGUAGGCGGUUUGGCAAGUCUUAUGUGAAAUCUUCGGGCUCAACCCGAAGCCUGCAUAAGAAACUGCCGGGCUUGAGUAUGGGAGAGGUGAGUGGAAUUUCCGGUGUAGCGGUGAAAUGCGUAGAUAUCGGAAGGAACACCUGUGGCGAAAGCGGCUCACUGGACCAUAACUGACGCUGAUGCACGAAAGCUAGGGGAGCAAACAGGAUUAGAUACCCUGGUAGUCCUAGCCCUAAACGAUGAUUGCUUGGUGUGGCAGGUACCCAAUCCUGCCGUGCCGAAGCUAACGCGAUAAGCAAUCCGCCUGGGGAGUACGGUCGCAAGGCUGAAACUC
Molecule: ribosomal RNA, 800 nt
Filed under: uncultured Pseudomonadota bacterium
Lineage: Bacteria; Pseudomonadati; Pseudomonadota
Description: bacterial SSU rRNA
Rfam family: Bacterial small subunit ribosomal RNA
Source: RNAcentral